Molecule: ribosomal RNA, 253 nt
Filed under: uncultured bacterium
Lineage: Bacteria
Description: partial 16S ribosomal RNA
Rfam family: Bacterial small subunit ribosomal RNA
Source: RNAcentral
UACGUAGGGUGCAAGCGUUAAUCGGAAUUACUGGGCGUAAAGCGUGCGCAGGCGGUUCUAUAAGACAGAUGUGAAAUCCCCGGGCUCAACCUGAGAACUGCAUUUGUGACUGUAGAGCUGGAGUACGGUAGAGGGGGAUGGAAUUCCGCGUGUAGCAGUGAAAUGCGUAGAUAUGCGGAGGAACACCGAUGGCGAAGGCAAUCCCCUGGACCUGUACUGACGCUCAUGCACGAAAGCGUGGGGAGCAAACAGG